This 364-nucleotide ribosomal RNA is filed under the name Brevibacterium iodinum. Its description in RNAcentral is "bacterial SSU rRNA". It matches the Rfam family "Bacterial small subunit ribosomal RNA", at positions 100 to 498 of the family's 1533-position model. The record is from RNAcentral. Lineage: Bacteria; Bacillati; Actinomycetota; Actinomycetes; Micrococcales; Brevibacteriaceae.
GAACGGGUGAGUAACGUGAGUAACCUGCCCCUGAUUUCGGGAUAACCUGGGAAACUGGUAAUACCGGAUACGACCAAUCCUCGGAGUUGGUGGAAAGUUUUUCGAUCGGGGAUGGGCUCGCGGCCUAUCAGCUUGUUGGUGGGGUAAUGGCCUACCAGGCGACGACGGGUAGCCGGCCUGAGAGGGCGACCGGCCACACUGGGACUGAGACACGGCCCAGACUCCUACGGGAGGCAGCAGUGGGGAAUAUUGCACAAUGGGGGAAACCCUGAUGCAGCGACGCAGCGUGCGGGAUGACGGCCUUCGGGUUGUAAACCGCUUUCAGCAGGGAAGAAGGACGGUACCUGCAGAAGAAGUACCGGCU